This is a long non-coding RNA of Tarenaya hassleriana, 297 nucleotides long. RefSeq lists it as uncharacterized. The transcript is spliced from 3 exons. The record is from RefSeq and is a predicted model, not a curated record. NCBI's taxonomy places the organism in Eukaryota, Viridiplantae, Streptophyta, Magnoliopsida, Brassicales, Cleomaceae.
UAAUGAUGAACUACUCCACGAGUUGACAUUACAGGCCAUUGAGCAACACAACGAAGAGGAGGGAACCCAUUUGGAAUAUGUGAAGCAUGAAAAGGCAAAUGCAUUGCCGGUGAAGGGUUAUUUGUUUUGGAUAACGUUUUGGGCGAAGGAUCUAUCUUCUCCAAACUCAGAGCCUAGACGUUAUCAGACAAAGCUUCAUAGUUGGGAGGAGGAACCCCAUGUUUUGUUUCUGAGGCCAAGGCCGACAGAUGAAGAGAUUGCUGCUGUUCACGUGGAGGCUCCUUCUACGGACCCCGA